This 497-nucleotide ribosomal RNA is filed under the name uncultured bacterium. RNAcentral describes it as "partial 16S ribosomal RNA". It matches the Rfam family "Bacterial small subunit ribosomal RNA", at positions 28 to 507 of the family's 1533-position model. The record is from RNAcentral.
GAUGAACGCUGGCGGCGUGCCUAAUACAUGCAAGUAGAACGCUGAAGCUUGGUGCUUGCACCGAGCGGAUGAGUUGCAAACGGGUGAGUAACGCGUAGGUAACCUGCCUCUUAGCGGGGGAUAACUAUUGGAAACGAUAGCUAAUACCGCAUAAAAGUUGACAUUGCAUGAUGUUGAUUUGAAAGAUGCAAUUGCAUCACUAAGAGAUGGACCUGCGUUGUAUUAGCUAGUUGGUGAAGUAACGGCUCACCAAGGCGACGAUACAUAGCCGACCUGAGAGGGUGAUCGGCCACACUGGGACUGAGACACGGCCCAGACUCCUACGGGAGGCAGCAGUAGGGAAUCUUCGGCAAUGGACGGAAGGCUGACCGAGCAACGCCGCGGUAGUGAAGAAGGUUUUCGGAUCGUAAAGCUCUGUUGUAAGAGAAGAACGAGUGUGAGAGUGGAAAGUUCACACUGUGACGGUAACUUACCAGAAAGGGACGGCUAACUACGUG